This 595-nucleotide long non-coding RNA is filed under the name Aquilegia coerulea. Its description in RNAcentral is "long non-coding RNA (ACOE_LNC001144)". Lineage: Eukaryota; Viridiplantae; Streptophyta; Magnoliopsida; Ranunculales; Ranunculaceae. The record is from RNAcentral.
UGAGUUACGUGAGACAUUAGUGGUUUUCCCAUUAGGGAGGUGUGUAUCAUCUGAAACCAAGUUUACCUGUGGAGGUGGUGAAGGACUUGAGACAUUAGUGUUUUUCCCAUUAGGGAGGUGUGUAUCAUCUGAAACCAAGUUUACCUGUGGAGGUGGUGAAGGACUUGAGACAUUAGUGGUUUUCGCAUUUGGAAAAUGUUUCUUACCAGAUUCACUAGAAGUCUUGCCUUUUCCACCAUUUCGAUAUAUGCUGGGAUGUACAGGAUUAGCUGGAGGAAAACCAGGUCCAGGUCCAGGUAUAUGAAUUGGUGUUGGUGUUUCUGGAGGGUUGUGCGUGGGCUCUGUCUCCGGUGGCUUCUUAUUGCAGCAACCGAAACACUUCUUUAUGCACUUGUGCCAAUCGAAACACAUACUUCUGUGUUUGAGUUACUGUGAACAAAUUUUCAUGAUAUGAAUAAGUUUAGUUGUAGGGAAGGUAAAUAUUUUGCUAUGAAUUAGGUAGAUAUGUAAAGGCUUGACAAAAGAAAGUAUUGCAAAAAUUGGCUUGCAAGUUCUUUUUAAAUACCAAAUCUCAUCAUACUUCAUUGUUAUCCAC